GUGGGGAAUAUUGCACAAUGGGCGCAAGCCUGAUGCAGCGACGCCGCGUGCGGGAUGACGGCCUUCGGGUUGUAAACCGCUUUCAGCAGGGAAGAAGGGCCUCUUUUUGGAGGUUUGACGGUACUUGCAGAAGAAGCGCCGGCUAACUACGUGCCAGCAGCCGCGGUAAUACGUAGGGCGCGAGCGUUAUCCGGAAUUAUUGGGCGUAAAGAGCUUGUAGGCGGUUUGCCGCGUCUGCUGUGAAAGCCCGGGGCUUAACUCCGGGUGUGCAGUGGGUACGGGCAGGCUAGAGUGCAGUAGGGGAGACUGGAAUUCCUGGUGUAGCGGUGAAAUGCGCAGAUAUCAGGAGGAACACCGAUGGCGAAGGCAGGUCUCUGGGCUGUUACUGACGCUGAGAAGCGAAAGCAUGGGUAGCGAACAGGAUUAGAAACCCUAGUAGUCC
This 442-nucleotide ribosomal RNA is filed under the name uncultured bacterium. RNAcentral's name for it is "bacterial SSU rRNA". It matches the Rfam family "Bacterial small subunit ribosomal RNA", at positions 354 to 796 of the family's 1533-position model. The record is from RNAcentral.